AGCAUGCAAGUCAAACGGGAUGUAGUAAUACAUCUAGUGGCGAACGGGUGAGUAACGCGUGGAUGAUCUACCUAUGAGAUGGGGAUAACUACUAGAAAUAGUGGCUAAUACCGAAUAAAGUCAGUUAGUUUGUUAAUUGAUGAAAGGAAGCCUUUAAAGCUUCGCUUGUAGAUGAGUCUGCGUCUUAUUAGUUAGUUGGUAGGGUAAAUGCCUACCAAGGCGAUGAUAAGUAACCGGCCUGAAAGGGUGAACGGUCACACUGGAACUGAGAUACGGUCCAGACUCCUACGGGAGGCAGCAGCUAAGAAUCUUCCGCAAUGGGCGAAAGCCUGACGGAGCGACACUGCGUGAAUGAAGAAGGUCGAAAGAUUGUAAAAUUCUUUUAUAAAUGAGGAAUAAGCUUUGUAGGAAAUGACAGAGUGAUGACGUUAAUUUAUGAAUAAGCCCCGGCUAAUUACGUGCCAGCAGCCGCGGUAAUACGUAAGGGGCAAGCGUUGUUCGGGAUUAUUGGGCGUAAAGGGUGAGUAGGCGGAUAUAUAAGUCUAUGCAUAAAAUACCACAGCUCAACUGUGGAACUAUGUUGGAAACUAUAUGUCUAGAGUCUGAUAGAGGAAGUUAGAAUUCCUGGUGUAAGGGUGGAAUCUGUUGAUAUCAGGAAGAAUACCGGAGGCGAAGGCGAACUUCUGGGUCAAGACUGACGCUGAGUCACGAAAGCGUAGGGAGCAAACAGGAUUAGAUACCCUGGUAGUCUACGCUGUAAACGAUGCACACUUGGUGUUAA
Molecule: ribosomal RNA, 781 nt
Filed under: Borreliella valaisiana
Lineage: Bacteria; Pseudomonadati; Spirochaetota; Spirochaetia; Spirochaetales; Borreliaceae
Description: bacterial SSU rRNA
Rfam family: Bacterial small subunit ribosomal RNA
Source: RNAcentral